RNAcentral lists this long non-coding RNA (820 nucleotides) under Homo sapiens (human). RNAcentral's name for it is "non-protein coding lnc-ASAP1-6:1". Lineage: Eukaryota; Metazoa; Chordata; Mammalia; Primates; Hominidae. The record is from RNAcentral.
CGCGUCGCGAGGCGAGCGUCCUCCUUUUGUGCGAGCGCCGGCGGCUCGGCUUCUCGAAGGUAAACAGCGCUUCCUCUUCCUCCUCGCCGCGCCUCUUCCUUUUAUAGUUAUUUCUCGCCUGGCACUCGCCCGGGCUGCUGCUGCUGCUGCUGCUGCCGCCGCGGCGGGGGCAGCUCGCAAACCUGUGGCGGUGACGUGAGCCCCGCCAACCCGGAAACGGCGGCGGCGGCGGCACCGGAGGCUCCGAGGCUCCUGCGCUCCCGCGCCGCGCUCCCCUCGCCCGCCCGGGCCGCCAGGAGAAGAAACUGAGGCCUGGAAUUUGAUUAACUCAUUCAAGGUUACCCAGUUGGGUCCCACCCUGUCGCCCAGGCCAGAGUGCAAUAGUGCAAUCACGACCCACUGCAUCCUUGACCUUUUGAGCCAAAGCAAUCCUACUGCCUCAGCCUCCCAAGUAAUUCAUUUGCACACCUGUUAGCAAGAAACAGAAGUUGAAGGACUGGAACAAGUGAACUAGGAAAGAGGGAACGCCAAUCCAAGGAUAGAAGGACAAGGACAGAAUCACCAGCACUGGCUGAAGGCAAUCCAGCAUCCAGCAGAUGAGAAGUUGCAAGAGAAGGCAUGGGGUGCAGUUGUUCCACUAGUAGGCAAAUUAAAGAAAUUUUACGAAUUUUCUCAGAGGUUAGAAGCAGCAUUAAGAGGUCUUCUGGGAGCCUUAACAAGUACCCCAUAUUCUCCCACCCAGCAUCUAGAGCGAGAGCAGGCUCUUGCUAAACAGUUUGCAGAAAUUCUUCAUUUCACACUCCGGUUUGAUGAACUCAAG